AGGGCUAUAGCUCAGUUAGGUAGAGCACCUCGUUUACAUCUACGGUUCGAGUCCGUAUAGCCCUA
This 65-nucleotide transfer RNA is filed under the name Nitraria tangutorum. RNAcentral describes it as "tRNA-Val". It matches the Rfam family "tRNA". Rfam says of the family: Transfer RNA (tRNA) molecules are approximately 80 nucleotides in length. Lineage: Eukaryota; Viridiplantae; Streptophyta; Magnoliopsida; Sapindales; Nitrariaceae. RNAcentral also lists the same sequence under 1 other name. The record is from RNAcentral.